RNA transcript from Salvia miltiorrhiza (redroot sage), 2917 nucleotides. It is a transcript of the gene named probable LRR receptor-like serine/threonine-protein kinase At3g47570, with no coding region annotated. Lineage: Eukaryota; Viridiplantae; Streptophyta; Magnoliopsida; Lamiales; Lamiaceae. The record is from RefSeq and is a predicted model, not a curated record. The transcript has 3 exons.
GUAAUUACUUAACCGGGGAUAUUCCGACAAGUUUAUCAGCUUGUGUGGAACUGAAGUUGUUUGAUCUGUCUGAUAACAAUCUCAGUGGAAAAUUUCCCACAGGAGUUUGGAACUGGUCCCGACUCCAGGAGAUCUCUUUGAGUAGGAAUUCUAUCACAGGUAAGAUUCCAGCAUCAAUUGGCAAUUUUUCGAAUUUGGAGGUAUUUGAUAUCAGCGGGAACAGUUUUUAUGGGACAGUUGUGUCUGAAAUGGGACAAGUAUUCAGUUUGAGAAUAUUGAAUCUUCAAGCAAACAAUCUAAGUGGUGAAGUACCUCAAGCUAUCUUCAAUCUCUCCAUGUUACAAUCCCUUUCCCUUAGAGAAAACAAACCUAUACGGCAUUCUUCCAUUUUCUAUUGACACUGGCCUUCCAAACAUUGAGCACAUUUUUCUUGGAAAUAUCCAACAGAGGUUUGAUCUUCGAGCUAAUUGCUUCCAUGGAGAAAUCCCGAGUUCAAUCUCAAAUCUCUCCAAACUCAUCACACUGGAUCUUUCUGAUAACUCAUUCAAUCAUGUACCAAUGAACCUUGGGAGUUUACAUCAACUUCAGAUGCUAAACUUGGAAGCAAAUCAGUUGACAAAUAAUUUGUCCAACCCCGAACAGGACUUCCUCUCUUCCUUGGCAGCUUGCAAGAAUCUGAAGUCUAUACAGAUAUCUUUCAACCCUAUAACUGGGGUUCUCCCAAAAUCCUUAGGCUCGAGUAAUCUAUCUUUGUCCCUUGAAACCUUGAAAGCUUCCUCUUGCAGAUUGUCAUAUCCAAUUCCUGAUGAGAUAGGGAACUUAAGCAACUUGUUGUGGUUGAACCUCGGGUAUAAUCACUUCAGUGGAGCAGUUCCCUCGACACUUGGACGAUUAAGAAGCUUGAGGAAUUUGGAAAUCUAUGGCAAUAGGUUUCACGGCUCCAUCUCCUCUGUCUUGUGCAAUCUCAAUCAUCUCUACUCAUUAAAUGUGGCAGUGAACAAUCUCUCCGUACAAAUACCAAGCUGUUUUGGAAACCUUUCUUCGCUGAGAGAAAUCUAUAUGUCACACAAUGAGUUCAAUUCCAACAUUGCAUCAAUUUUGUGGUUUGAUAAGGGUGUUAGCAAUGUGAAGAACCUGAUAGCAUUGGACCUGUCUUGGAAUCAGCUCACAGGGAAGAUUCCACGCACCAUUCCACAGCUUCAGAGUCUUGUUAGACUAUCAUUGUCACGAAACAAACUGAAAGGCCCCAUAGUUGAAUCCUUUAGUCUUCUGAAGGAUCUGCAAUACUUGGAUUUGUCCCACAACAAUCUCUCUAGCCCGAUUCCUAAGUCUUUGGAGGCACUAUCGCAUCUCAAUCACUUUGAUGUAUCGUUUAAUGAGCUUACAGGUAAAAUCCCUGACAGAGGGUGUUUUGUCAACUUCAAAGCUGAGUUCUUCACUGGUAAUAAAGGUGUGUGUGGAGCACCUCAAUUCAAAGUGAAGAAAUGCCAAUCUUUAAGCAAGAGAAAACCUUUAAUAUAUAUAUCAUUUAUGAUAGUUCCUGUUAUUGGCCUUAUUCUCAUCCUGGUAUGGAAAUUUCACAUAAAACCUGCAAGGAAACAAUCUCCUUCGUUUGCUGAAAAUGAAAUAAACUUUACUGGCUUUCAUCCGAGAAGUAUUUCGCAUCAAGAAAUCCUUCGCGCCACAGGCAACUUUGAUGAAGAAAACUUGAUUGGCAGGGGUGGCAUUGGCUAUGUAUAUCUGGGAACAUUUUCUGAUGGAAUGAAGUGUGCUAUUAAAGUAUUUGAUUUAGAUGUACAAGAUGCGUUGAAGAGCUUCCAGACAGAGUGCGAAAUAUUAGGCGCAUUACGCCACAGAAAUCUUGUCAGGAUUAUCACUAGUUGUUGGCAGCCUGAUUUUAAGGCCUUGGUGAUGGCAUACAUGCCCAACGGCGACCUAGAAAAAUGUCUCCACUCUGCUAUUUGUUCCUUAGGCUUAUUUACAAGACUGAGAAUAAUGACAGAAGUGGCGAGCGCGAUAGAGUAUUUACAUGAAUUCUCUUGAGCCCCCACUGUCCACUGUGACUUGAACCCGAAAAACAUCCUUCUUGAUGAAGACAUGGUGGCACAUGUAGCCGACUUUGGCUUGGCCAAGCACCUCAGCGUUGGAGAGCGAAUGCUACAUUCUAGAACUUUGGGUACUGUUGGAUACAUCGCGCCAGAGUAUGGAUCUCAAGGAUUGAUCUCGACGGCAGUGGAUGUUUAUAGCUAUGGGAUUUUGCUGAUGGAAAUGCUUUCAAGAAGAAAGCCAACAGAUGAGAUGUUUUCAGGAGAGUUAACCUUGAGGGGAUGGGUCUCUGAAUCAUUCCCUGAUUCAGUGUUGCAAAUUGUGGACAAUGAGCUACUGGUUACGGGCGAUGACGGAGCUCGAGCCGCCUUCAUAACUUGCUUGACAUUGGUUAUCGGAUUAGCAUUAGAAUGCACGGCAGAUUUGCCCGAGGAGAGGCCUAAUAUGAAUGAUGUUCAAAUCAGGAUGACAACCAUCCGGUACAAGUAUGUGCAAAUGUCUCUCCCGAUUGUUGAUCCGGAGCGAGCAGGUAAUUUCAUAUUUACGUUUAUUGGGAUGGGUGUAGCGAGAAUUAUACAUGAACAAACACAUUCAACUAAUGUGGUUGUUCAUGUGUUGCAUGAAUUUAUUCAUCUCGCAUUCAUAUAUAGAUUUUAGGUGCUUAUUCAUGUGUUCUCAUUUAUCACAAAAGAUAGGUAUUCUCAUUUGAUCCAUUUUCUGUAUUUAUAUUUGCAUAAAUUCUGUUCAUCAUCAUGUUAGCUAGCUUUAUCUUGACAUGUUAUAUGCCACUGUUUACGAGCUAAUUGUUAAAAUAGGCAUGCAACUUUCAGUGUUUUUCAGAAAGAGGACAAUAUGUUACGGAAUUUGAAAA